CUCCUUCACCGGAAACCGGAACUGUCCCUAGCACGUGACCCCCGCCGACUCGCACAGAAACUUACAAAUCUCUCUCCGAUCUGUCACUUUUCUUCCAAAAAAGAAAUAUCCGAUACUUAACAAAUCCGACAGGAGUAACAAGAGAAGAAGUUUGCCCAAGAAAAAUAAAAUGAGGAAUCCAGUCAGAUACUAGACGUUCAAGAGUUGUUGAAGACUGACCAAACCUGAGUGAGAAGAAAAUGCCAGACUCAAAGGGGUGGUGACAUAGAGGAGUGGGAGGAGAAAGG
Long non-coding RNA from Hyla sarda, 287 nucleotides. RefSeq lists it as uncharacterized. NCBI's taxonomy places the organism in Eukaryota, Metazoa, Chordata, Amphibia, Anura, Hylidae. The record is from RefSeq and is a predicted model, not a curated record. The transcript has 3 exons.